CACGUAGGCGGACCGGAAAGUUGGGGGUGAAAUCCCGGGGCUCAACCCCGGAACUGCCUUCAAAACUAUCGGUCUGGAGUUCGAGAGAGGUGAGUGGAAUUCCGAGUGUAGAGGUGAAAUUCGUAGAUAUUCGGAGGAACACCAGUGGCGAAGGCGGCUCACUGGCUCGAUACUGACGCUGAGGUGCGAAAGCGUGGGGAGCAAACAG
RNAcentral lists this ribosomal RNA (208 nucleotides) under uncultured bacterium. RNAcentral's name for it is "partial 16S ribosomal RNA". It matches the Rfam family "Bacterial small subunit ribosomal RNA", at positions 568 to 775 of the family's 1533-position model. The record is from RNAcentral.